Molecule: long non-coding RNA, 416 nt
Organism: Epinephelus fuscoguttatus (brown-marbled grouper)
Lineage: Eukaryota; Metazoa; Chordata; Actinopteri; Perciformes; Serranidae
Exons: 3
Source: RefSeq, a predicted model, not a curated record
UACACGAGGGUGAAGCUGUGGAGGAGAGAGGGAUCUGAUUGAGAAGCCGAGGCAACACAUUCUCAGUCUGACCUCUUCAGAUAUCGAUGUUUGGUCAUGGACUGUCCACGCUGAGAUAUGACAUGCAAGGUACCGUAGGGAACCUGUCAAGAAAAAAUAAUAAAGGGACAAACUGAAUAAUUGAUGAAGAGUCCAGUGAUGCAGACUGUCAGCAGCAGCAGUCCUAUAACAACUCCAAUAACAGCAUCAGCAGGAAUCUGUGAGGGAGAAACUGGAACCACAACAGAACAUUCAAACUUUGUCUCAACCACUGGAUAAAAGUCAAUAUGUUUAGUUUACAAUGGCUUUGAUAAGGACAAUAUUAUCACAAUUGAGAAAAAUAAUGUACAAAACUAUGAAAAUAAGACACAACUGUU